UACGUAGGGAGCGAGCGUUGUCCGGAAUUACUGGGCGUAAAGGGCGCGUAGGCGGCCGAUUAAGUUAGAUGUGAAAAACCGGGGCUCAACUCCGGGAUUGCAUUUAAGACUGGUCGGCUUGAGGGUGAGAGAGGAAAGUGGAAUUCCUAGUGUAGCGGUGAAAUGCGUAGAUAUUAGGAGGAACACCAGUGGCGAAGGCGACUUUCUGGCUCAUACCUGACGCUGAGGCGCGAAAGCGUGGGGAGCAAACAGG
This 253-nucleotide ribosomal RNA is filed under the name uncultured bacterium. Its description in RNAcentral is "partial 16S ribosomal RNA". It matches the Rfam family "Bacterial small subunit ribosomal RNA", at positions 524 to 776 of the family's 1533-position model. The record is from RNAcentral.